AGCUUGCUAGAUUGAUGGCGAGUGGCGAACGGGUGAGUAAUACAUCGGAACGUGCCCUGUAGUGGGGGAUAACUAGUCGAAAGAUUAGCUAAUACCGCAUACGACCUGAGGGUGAAAGUGGGGGACCGCAAGGCCUCAUGCUAUAGGAGCGGCCGAUGUCUGAUUAGCUAGUUGGUGAGGUAAAGGCUCACCAAGGCGACGAUCAGUAGCUGGUCUGAGAGGACGAUCAGCCACACUGGGACUGAGACACGGCCCAGACUCCUACGGGAGGCAGCAGUGGGGAAUUUUGGACAAUGGGGGCAACCCUGAUCCAGCAAUGCCGCGUGUGUGAAGAAGGCCUUCGGGUUGUAAAGCACUUUUGUCCGGAAAGAAAUCGCACUUACUAAUAUUAGGUGUGGAUGACGGUACCGGAAGAAUAAGGACCGGCUAACUACGUGCCAGCAGCCGCGGUAAUACGUAGGGUCCAAGCGUUAAUCGGAAUUACUGUGCGUAAAGCGUGCGCAGGCGGUUGUGCAAGACCGAUGUGAAAUCCCCGGGCUUAACCUGGGAAUUGCAUUGGUGACUGCACGGCUAGAGUGUGUCAGAGGGGGGUAGAAUUCCACGUGUAGCAGUGAAAUGCGUAGAGAUGUGGAGGAAUACCGAUGGCGAAGCAGCCCCCUGGGAUAACACUGACGCUCAUGCACGAAAGCGNNNGGGGAGCAAACAGGAUUAGAUACCNUGGUAGUCCACGCCCUAAACGAUGUCAACUAGUUGUUGGGGAUUCAUUUCCUUAGUAACGUAGCUAACGCGUGAAGUUGACCGCCUGGGGAGUACGGUCGCAAGAUUAAAACUCAAAGGAAUUGACGGGGACCCGCACAAGCGGUGGAUGAUGUGGAUUAAUUCGAUGCAACGCGAAAAACCUUACCUACCCUUGACAUGCCACUAACGAAGCAGAGAUGCAUUAGGUGCUCGAAAGAGAAAGUGGACACAGGUGCUGCAUGGCUGUCGUCAGCUCGUGUCGUGAGAUGUUGGGCUAAGUCCCGCAACGAGCGCAACCCUUGUCUCUAGUUGCUACGAAAGGGCACUCUAGAGAGACUGCCGGUGACAAACCGGAGGAAGGUGGGGAUGACGUCAAGUCCUCAUGGCCCUUAUGGGUAGGGCUUCACACGUCAUACAAUGGUGCAUACAGAGGGUUGCCAAGCCGCGAGGUGGAGCUAAUCCCAGAAAAUGCAUCGUAGUCCGGAUCGUAGUCUGCAACUCGACUACGUGAAGCUGGAAUCGCUAGUAAUCGCGGAUCAGCAUGCCGCGGUGAAUACGUUCCCGGGUCUUGUACACACCGCCCGUCACACCAUGGGAGUGGGUUUUGCCAGAAGUAGUUAGCCUAACCGCAAGGGGGGCGAUUACCACGGCAGGGCUCAUGACUGGGGUGAA
RNAcentral lists this ribosomal RNA (1410 nucleotides) under uncultured Ralstonia sp. Its description in RNAcentral is "16S ribosomal RNA". It matches the Rfam family "Bacterial small subunit ribosomal RNA". The record is from RNAcentral. Lineage: Bacteria; Pseudomonadati; Pseudomonadota; Betaproteobacteria; Burkholderiales; Burkholderiaceae.